GAUCGCCCUCAGCCGUAGAGGUUGAAGCACCUCCACUGCCAACAUGAAGCUGAUUUCCUUGUUGAUGGCCAUGGUUGUGGCCCUGUCCUGCUUCAUGGGAUCUGCUCUUGCCAUGCCCGAGCCCUAUGCCCUCCCUGACGCUGACUUUGUGACGGAGGCCAUCUCCGACUGACGCAACCAUGCCCACUUCGAAAAGCUUUUCCCCUGGCACAAAGCAAUCACAGAGUGCAGUGCAAAAGCCCUCAUUGCCCCCAAUAAGGGUUUCUCUUUAUUUCGCUCUCUGCUUAUGUCUGUAAAGGUACCGAUACCAUUCUGGAAACUAGUGGAAACUGAAUUUUCUACUUUCGUUCGUGAUGACUUCUUAACGAUACUAGCUUAAUACUCAAAAUGUAUCUUACGAAAAAAAAAUGGAAUUGCUGCUUCUUUCCAAAUUGAAAGGUGUGUAAGAACAGUCUUUGUUUCAUUUCUUAUAUGCAAUUACUGGGCUAUAACAAUCUUACUAUCAGCAUUAUGUAUAUCUAGUAAAGAAUUCGGGAGUCGGCCCUGAGGAAAAAUCCGGAGCUGGAGUCCUUAAGUCAGUUCAUUGGCGCUUACCACCUUGUUCUUGUAACUCAUACGACGCUGUAAUGAACCCUUCUUUUCAAUAUAAUUUUAACAAAUAAACGAA
Penaeus indicus is the source of this 667-nucleotide long non-coding RNA. RefSeq lists it as uncharacterized. Lineage: Eukaryota; Metazoa; Arthropoda; Malacostraca; Decapoda; Penaeidae. The transcript has 2 exons. The record is from RefSeq and is a predicted model, not a curated record.